Molecule: ribosomal RNA, 1435 nt
Filed under: uncultured Bordetella sp.
Lineage: Bacteria; Pseudomonadati; Pseudomonadota; Betaproteobacteria; Burkholderiales; Alcaligenaceae
Description: partial 16S-23S ribosomal RNA intergenic spacer
Rfam family: Bacterial small subunit ribosomal RNA
Source: RNAcentral
AGUCGAACGGCAGCACGGACUUCGGUCUGGUGGCGAGUGGCGAACGGGUGAGUAAUGUAUCGGAACGUGCCUAGUAGCGGGGGAUAACUACGCGAAAGCGUAGCUAAUACCGCAUACGCCCUUCGGGGGAAAGCGGGGGGACCUUCGGGCCUCGCACUAUUAGAGCGGCCGAUAUCGGAUUAGCUAGUUGGUGGGGUAACGGCUCACCAAGGCGACGAUCCGUAGCUGGUUUGAGAGGACGACCAGCCACACUGGGACUGAGACACGGCCCAGACUCCUACGGGAGGCAGCAGUGGGAAUUUUGGACAAUGGGGAAACCCUGGAUCCAGCCAUCCCGCGUGUGUGAUGAAGGCCUUCGGGUUGUAAAGCACUUUUGGCAGGAAAGAAACGGCACGGGAUAAUACCCCGUGCAACUGAUUGGGUACCUGCAGAAUAAGCAGCACUGGCUAACCAUGCGCCACAGCAGCCGCGGUAAUACGUAGGGUGCAAGCGUUAAUCGGAAUUACUAUGCAAAGCGUGCGCAGGCGGUUCGGAAAGAAAGAUGUGAAAUCCCAGAGCUUAACUUUGAACUGCAUUUUUAACUACUGAGCUAGAGUGUGUGUCAGAGGGAGGUGGAAUUCCGUGUAGCAGUGAAAUGCGUAGAUAUGCGGAGGAACACCGAUGGCGAAGGCAGCCUCCUGAUAACACUGACGCUCAUGCACGAAAGCGUGGGGAGCAAACAGAUUAGAUGGCUCCGGUAGCCCACGCCCUAAACGAUGUCAACUAGCUGUUGGGGCCUUCGGGCCUUGGUAGCGCAGCUAACGCGUGAAGUUGACCGCCUGGGGAGUACGGUCGAUUAAAACUCAAAGGAAUUGACGGGGACCCGCACAAGCGGUGGAUGAUGUGGAUUAAUUCCGAUGCAACGCGAAAACCUUACCUACCCUUGACAUGUCUGGAAUCCCGAAGAGAUUUGGGAGUGCUCGCAAGAGAACCGGAACACAGGUGCUGCAUGGCUGUCGUCAGCUCGUGUCGUGAGAUGUUGGGUUAAGUCCCGCAACGAGCGCAACCCUUGUCAUUAGUUGCUACGAAAGGGCACUCUAAUGAGACUGCCGGUGACAAAACUGGAGGAAGGUGGGGAUGACGUCAAGUCCUCAUGGCCCUUAUGGGUAGGGCUUCACACGUCAUACAAUGGUCGGGACAGAGGGUCGCCAACCCGCGAGGGGGAGCCAAUCCCAGAAACCCGACGUAGUCCGGAUCGCAGUCUGCAACUCGACUGCGUGAAGUCGGAAUCGCUAGUAAUCGCGGAUCAGCAUGUCGCGGGUGAAUACGUUCCCGGGUCUUGUACACACCGCCCGUCACACCAUGGGAGUGGGUUUUACCAGAAGUAGUUAGCCUAACCGUAUGAGUGGCGAUUACCACGGUAGGAUUCAUGACUGGGGUGGUCGUAACAAGGUAG